Molecule: ribosomal RNA, 1758 nt
Filed under: Salmonella enterica
Lineage: Bacteria; Pseudomonadati; Pseudomonadota; Gammaproteobacteria; Enterobacterales; Enterobacteriaceae
Description: partial 23S ribosomal RNA
Rfam family: Bacterial large subunit ribosomal RNA
Source: RNAcentral
CGGCAGCGACACUGUGUGUUCGUUGGGUAGGGGAGCGUUCUGUAAGCCUGUGAAGGUGUGUCGUGAGGCAUGCUGGAGGUAUCAGAAGUGCGAAUGCUGACAUAAGUAACGAUAAAGCGGGUGAAAAGCCCGCUCGCCGGAAGACCAAGGGUUCCUGUCCAACGUUAAUCGGGGCAGGGUGAGUCGACCCCUAAGGCGAGGCCGAAAGGCGUAGUCGAUGGGAAACGGGUUAAUAUUCCCGUACUUGGUGUUACUGCGAAGGGGGGACGGAGAAGGCUAUGUUGGCCGGGCGACGGUUGUCCCGGUUUAAGCGUGUAGGUGUGUGUUCCAGGUAAAUCCGGUUCACUUUAACACUGAGGCGUGACGACGAGGCACUACGGUGCUGAAGCAACAAAUGCCCUGCUUCCAGGAAAAGCCUCUAAGCAUCAGGUAACAUCAAAUCGUACCCCAAACCGACACAGGUGGUCAGGUAGAGAAUACCAAGGCGCUUGAGAGAACUCGGGUGAAGGAACUAGGCAAAAUGGUGCCGUAACUUCGGGAGAAGGCACGCUGACACGUAGGUGAAGUGAUUUACUCAUGGAGCUGAAGUCAGUCGAAGAUACCAGCUGGCUGCAACUGUUUAUUAAAAACACAGCACUGUGCAAACACGAAAGUGGACGUAUACGGUGUGACGCCUGCCCGGUGCCGGAAGGUUAAUUGAUGGGGUCAGCGCAAGCGAAGCUCCUGAUCGAAGCCCCGGUAAACGGCGGCCGUAACUAUAACGGUCCUAAGGUAGCGAAAUUCCUUGUCGGGUAAGUUCCGACCUGCACGAAUGGCGUAAUGAUGGCCAGGCUGUCUCCACCCGAGACUCAGUGAAAUUGAACUCGCUGUGAAGAUGCAGUGUACCCGCGGCAAGACGGAAAGACCCCGUGAACCUUUACUAUAGCUUGACACUGAACAUUGAGCCUUGAUGUGUAGGAUAGGUGGGAGGCUUUGAAGCGUGGACGCCAGUCUGCAUGGAGCCGACCUUGAAAUACCACCCUUUAAUGUUUGAUGUUCUAACGUGGACCCGUGAUCCGGGUUGCGGACAGUGUCUGGUGGGUAGUUUGACUGGGGCGGUCUCCUCCUAAAGAGUAACGGAGGAGCACGAAGGUUGGCUAAUCCUGGUCGGACAUCAGGAGGUUAGUGCAAUGGCAUAAGCCAGCUUGACUGCGAGCGUGACGGCGCGAGCAGGUGCGAAAGCAGGUCAUAGUGAUCCGGUGGUUCUGAAUGGAAGGGCCAUCGCUCAACGGAUAAAAGGUACUCCGGGGAUAACAGGCUGAUACCGCCCAAGAGUUCAUAUCGACGGCGGUGUUUGGCACCUCGAUGUCGGCUCAUCACAUCCUGGGGCUGAAGUAGGUCCCAAGGGUAUGGCUGUUCGCCAUUUAAAGUGGUACGCGAGCUGGGUUUAGAACGUCGUGAGACAGUUCGGUCCCUAUCUGCCGUGGGCGCUGGAGAACUGAGGGGGGCUGCUCCUAGUACGAGAGGACCGGAGUGGACGCAUCACUGGUGUUCGGGUUGUCAUGCCAAUGGCACUGCCCGGUAGCUAAAUGCGGAAGAGAUAAGUGCUGAAAGCAUCUAAGCACGAAACUUGCCCCGAGAUGAGUUCUCCCUGAGACUUAGAGUCUCCUGAAGGAACGUUGAAGACGACGACGUUGAUAGGCCGGGUGUGUAAGCGCAGCGAUGCGUUGAGCUAACCGGUACUAAUGAACCGUGAGGCUUAACCUUACAACGCCGAAG